UCUCAUUGGAGGUGAUGAAACCCUGGCCAAGUACCUGGUCUCCCUGCAGCAGGAAUUGAACGCCCUCCAGUGAGAUGCCAUCAGCUGCCAAGCGGUACCCUGAGACGGUCAAGCCAGCGGUCGUGGACGGUUCUCCGAGCGAGUGACCUGCGGACGAUGGGACUGACCCCACGGAGAAUCAACAACACCACACUCAAAUUCCUGCCCUAGGUCUCAGACGGUCCUCGACUGGAUGGCCGAUCUCGUGAGACUCAGGAGGCCUUCACCCGCCAUUAUCGGAAUGACCUGUGAUCCGGCGGAGCAGGUUGGAAGAAAGAAGGCACUUGCAGACCUCAAGACGCACGAAUGGAUGUACACCGCAGCGCCGGGAUCCGUGGAGCCGCCGGCUAGUCCUAGACCAUUGACCAUCCUGUCUCCGUUCUGUCUCCUUCACAUAUCGUCCUCGACGAUCGAUUGACCAUCCUGUCUCCAUUCUAUCUCCUUCCAAUAUUGUGUCUCCGUUGAAUCUCCUUCCUCUGGUAGAUUUUAAGUUGGGGCAGCGAUGUGUCAAUUACAUUACCUUAUAUGGACCACUCCCAAGAACUGGUUCUGAUUGGAGGCUGGAGUAACGGACGACGCAAGGGGAUUGGGUAGGAUCUGGGGCGCGCUGGAAGCGUUGCGGUCGAGUGGAACGCGGAAGUGCUUGCAAAUCAAGGUACCAGGUUUGGACGGCUUGGGGCUGUUCGUCACUCGUACCCCCCUGGGGUGAACGCACGGGCAGCCACUUUCCGCCCUUCCCUGCUGUCUCGGCUCUCUCUCUGGAGUCUGUUCAUUUCUACACCAAGGUCACGAAACCCUCUCGUGCGAUUGCGAGAUCACAGUCGUUUCUCUGAUAAAUUCCGCCACGGUUUUGGCAACCACGAAGGGAUCCUUGUGCUCAGGAUUCUCCGGGAACCAGGUGCCCAAGCGCGCGCCAAGGAAAACUCAGGAAUUGAACGCCCUCCAGUGAGAUGCCAUCAGCUGCCAAGCGGUACCCUGAGACGGUCAAGCCAGCGGUCGUGGACGGUUCUCCGAGCGAGUGACCUGCGGACGAUGGGACUGACCCCACGGAGAAUCAACAACACCACACUCAAAUUCCUGCCCUAGGUCUCAGACGGUCCUCGACUGGAUGGCCGAUCUCGUGAGACUCAGGAGGCCUUCACCCGCCAUUAUCGGAAUGACCUGUGAUCCGGCGGAGGUUAGUUCACCCAAGACCAAAGGGGCCCUAGUACUAGACGACUGACCAUCUUGUCUCCGUUCUGUCUCCUUCCUUUAGUAGAUCAAUCAUUUUAAGUUUGGGCAGCGAUGCGUCGAUUACGUUACCGUAUAUGGCCCACUCCUAAGAACCGGUUCCGAUUGGAGGCUGGAGUACAGGCAACGCAAGGGGAUGGGGUAGGAUUCUGGGCGUGCAGUGGAAGAGUUGCGGUCGAGUGGAACAUGUAAAUGCUUACAAAUAAAGGUAUCAGGUUCGGAUGGC
Ornithorhynchus anatinus (platypus) is the source of this 1495-nucleotide long non-coding RNA. RefSeq lists it as uncharacterized. The record is from RefSeq and is a predicted model, not a curated record. The transcript is spliced from 3 exons. Lineage: Eukaryota; Metazoa; Chordata; Mammalia; Monotremata; Ornithorhynchidae.